RNAcentral lists this ribosomal RNA (2407 nucleotides) under alkali sediment metagenome. Its description in RNAcentral is "bacterial LSU rRNA". It matches the Rfam family "Bacterial large subunit ribosomal RNA", at positions 3 to 2445 of the family's 2925-position model. The record is from RNAcentral.
UCAAGCUACUAAGGGCACAGGGUGAAUGCCUUGGCACCAAGAGGCGAUGAAAGACGUGGUCAGCUGCGAUAAGCUCUGGGGAGCCGCUAACAGGCUUAGAUCCAGAGAUUUCUGAAUGGGGAAACCCGGCUCGUGUCAUGACGGGUCAUCUUGCGCUGAAUACAUAGGCGUAAGAAGCAAACGCAGGGAACUGAAACAUCUAAGUACCUGCAGGAAGAGAAAGCGACAGCGAUUCCCCGAGUAGUGGCGAGCGAAAGGGGAAUAGCCCAAACCGGAUAUGCGUGAUAGCCUGCAAGCGUUGCAUGUUCGGGGUUGUGGGGCUCUAUUGGAGAAGGUUGCAGCCUUCUCGGGAAGUUACAAAGCUUAUUCAUAGUCGAAUCCGCUGGAAAGCGGAACCACAGAAGGUGAUAGUCCUGUAAGCGAAAUGAAUGGGCCUUCCUCGAUAGAGUUCCCGAGUACCGCGGGACACGUGAAAUCCUGUGGGAAUCUGGGGGGACCAUCUCCCAAGGCUAAAUACUACUUGGUGACCGAUAGUGAACCAGUACCGUGAGGGAAAGGUGAAAAGUACCCCGGGAGGGGAGUGAAAUAGUACCUGAAACCGUGUGCCUACAAACUGUGGAAGGACUAUGGCUGGAAAGGCAACUUUCCAUCCAGUCUGACUGCGUGCCUUUUGCAUAAUGAGUCAGCGAGUUACUCUAUGUGGCGAGGUUAAGCCGACAGGUGGAGCCGUAGCGAAAGCGAGUCUUAAAAGGGCGAUUCAGUCGCAUAGAGUAGACCCGAAACCAAGUGAUCUACCCAUGGCCAGGGUGAAGCGUAUGUAACAGUCCGUGGAGGCCCGAACCGGUGUGGGUUGAAAACCGCUCGGAUGAGCUGUGGGUAGGGGUGAAAGGCCAAUCAAACUUGGAAAUAGCUGGUUCUCCCCGAAAUAUAUUUAGGUAUAGCCUCGCGUGAUGAGUGUUGGAGGUAGAGCACUGAAUGGGCUAGGGGUCCUACCAGAUUACCAAACCCAAUCAAACUCCGAAUGCCAACAACUGCUAACGCGGGAGUCAGACUGCGGGUGAUAAGAUCCGUAGUCGAAAGGGAAACAGCCCAGAUCGCCGGCUAAGGUCCCCAAUACAUGCUAAGUGGAAAAGGAAGUGGAAACGUUCAGACAACCAGGAGGUUGGCUUAGAAGCAGCCAUCCUUUAAAGAAAGCGUAAUAGCUCACUGGUCGAAUGGGUCUGCGCCGAAGAUUCAACGGGGCUCAAGCAUGUAACCGAAGCCGCGGAUUCAUAUUUCGGUAUGGAUGGUAGGGGAGCAUUCCAUGUUAGGUCGAAGCCAGACCGUAAGGACUGGUGGACGAGAUGGAAGAGAUUAUGCUGACAUAAGUAGCGAAAAAGUCAGUGAGAAACUGACUCGCCGAAAACCUAAGGUUUCCUGAGUAAAGUUAAUCUUCUCAGGGUUAGUCGAUCCCUAAGCCGAGGCCGAAAGGCGUAGGCGAUGGAAAACAGGUUAAUAUUCCUGUACCACUGGAAGAGCGUUUGAGCAAUGGGGGGACGUAGAAGGGUAGGCCAUCCGGGUGAUGGAUGUCCCGGUUCAAGCUGGUAGGAGGAGUUUCCAGGCAAAUCCGGAAACUCAUUCAACUCCGAGAAGUGAUGAGGAGAGGUUUUACCUCAUAAACUGGCUGAUCCCACGCUACCAAGAAAAGCCUCUAGCGAGCUCGUCCGGUGAUCGUACCGUAAACCGACACAGGUAGGUGAGGAGAAUAUCCUAAGGCGCUUGAGUGAAACCUCGUUAAGGAACUCGGCAAAUUAGCACCGUAACUUCGGAAGAAGGUGUGCCCCGUUAGCGUGAAGCGAUUCGCACGUGAAGCGCGAAGGGGUUGCAGUGAAAGGGCCCAGGCGACUGUUUAGCAAAAACACAGGACUCUGCCAAGUGGUAGCGAAAUUCCUUGUCGGGUAAGUUCCGACCUGCACGAAUGGCGUAACGAUUUGGGCGCUGUCUUGACGAGGAGCUCAGCGAAUUUGAUAAGACGGUGAAGAUGCCGUCUACCCGCAACAAGACGGAAAGACCCCGUGCACCUUUACUAUAGCUUGAUAAUGAACUUUGGACUAAUCUGUGUAGGAUAGGUGGGAGGCUAUGAAGUGGGGACGCCAGUUUCCAUGGAGUCAACCUUGAAAUACCACCCUGGCUAUUCUGAAGUUCUAACCUGGGCCCGUGAUCCGGGUCAGGGACAUUGUCUGGCGGGUAGUUUGACUGGGGCGGUCGCCUCCAAAAGAGUAACGGAGGCUCCCAAAGGUUCCCUCAGCACGGACGGUAAUCGUGCGUAGAGCGUAAAGGCAUAAGGGAGCUUGACUGCGAGACAAACAAGUCGAGCAGGUGCGAAAGCAGGUCUUAGUGAUCCGGUGGUUCCGCAUGGAAGGGCCAU